RNAcentral lists this long non-coding RNA (747 nucleotides) under Ananas comosus (pineapple). Its description in RNAcentral is "long non-coding RNA (ACOM_LNC039611)". The record is from RNAcentral. Lineage: Eukaryota; Viridiplantae; Streptophyta; Magnoliopsida; Poales; Bromeliaceae.
UGAUUCUAAAGUCUAUAAAUAAGCUAUUGGGCUUCUCUAACAUAUUAAGCAUCACGAAAAUACAUAUUUGAGAAACCCUAGAGGCUCGGAUUUCAUCUAAAACCUAUUUUCUACAAAAAGCCUCUUUUAGAUCAAAUCGAGAUAUUGAAAUUUGAUAUUAAUAUGUCGAUUUGAUCUCCGCUUCGCUUGGAGUUCUAUUCCUUGGUUUUCUACAACACUCCAAAGCGAAGGAUCACCAUAUUCAUGAUAUUCUUCAUGGUGGCGUCGUGGAUUUGGCGUAUUUGACGGCGGUUCGUGGAUUCGGAUCGUGGGCUCGUGGAUUCAAGUGGCGUCGUGGAUUCGGCGUGAUUGAAGCUUCGUGGAUUCGAAGUGGAGGCGUUCGUGGAUUCGGACGUGAGGGCGUGGACAACCCGGAGGGUAGCGCGAAGAUUCAUAGGAGGUUAAGAGAGGUAGAGUCCGUGGAGUAGGUAAUCACCUUGUAAUCUUUUCUCUUAGUGAAUUGUGUUUUUCGCGUGUUGGUCCCGUGGGUUUUUCUCCAAGUUGGAGUUUUCCCACGUAAAUCUCGGUGUGCUUUUUAUUUUCCGUAUUUAUUUUUAUUGCAUCGAGAUUUGUGGUUUUUGGCCUUUCACCUAUUCACCCCCCCUCUAGGUGAUAGAUACAAUAUAGAUAGAUCCUUGGGCUCCUCAAAACUUUCAACAUGGAGAGGAUUUGAUUUGGUUGUGGACCCUAGUGAUAGUGCUUCCUCAC